Long non-coding RNA from Leopardus geoffroyi (Geoffroy's cat), 1107 nucleotides. RefSeq lists it as uncharacterized. Lineage: Eukaryota; Metazoa; Chordata; Mammalia; Carnivora; Felidae. The record is from RefSeq and is a predicted model, not a curated record. The transcript has 6 exons.
UGACUUCCAAGAGAAGCUGUUAACUUCCAGAGAUACAUAAGUCUUUUAGGGAGAAAAGGAAACCUUCAAUUUAACUAAAUAGGAAAUGUAGAUGAAAUCUUGAUAUUCUUUGAUACGCCAAAAAUUAUAAAGUCAAUCCUAAAUGUGCUAAAGCAGUCAGGAUCAUGAGCAUAGAAUAUAAAAAGCAGUAUUUUUCUGUUAUGUAACUGCAUAUGCCUGGAAGCGAUUCAGGAGAAGAUUUGGAUCCUGAAUUAUUAAGAACAUUUGUAUAUUCUCCAGGGGCAGGAAGUCUUAUUACAUAGCUGAUGUCCAGAGGCCUCUAGCCUAUAAAUAGGAUGUCUCACUUGUCUCCUAAAUUCUAACAAUGAGCUAAAGGAGGAGAGGAGCUAAAGGAGGAGUAAGAAGGAGAUGCUAAGAGGAGAGAAAUGAAUAAAUGGCCUCUAAUAUUUGAGAGUCUGCCAGAAGAGACAGCAAAAAGACAUUGAAAUAAGCAUUGAGCUAGAUCCCGGAAGAUGUGCUGGCAGCUUCGAGUCUGAGUGUGGAGAUAGAAAAGGGAAAAAAAAAAUCCACGAAGGUGUUCAAAGUGUAAAUGCAAGCUUCUGAGAGGAUUUUCCUCAGACCUCACCCUGAGAACCUGCUGGUGACUGUGGCUAUUUCUUCUAAGCCUUACGUUGAAUAUCUCUGAAAGCUGGACCUAUUUUAGGAGCAUCUCUGAAGCAGAAGGAAGACUGGCUGGUCAUCCUCCAUCUGGGUUUCAUUCUUUUGCAUGUAUCUGUCCAACUCACAUAGGAGAUGAAACUUGUCAAUCAGCCUGGCCUGAGCUCCUGGUUGUAUCUCAAAGCUUUGUGAUGGUCCAGGUCAUCUUCUUUGUUCUUAGUGGCUCUCAGUGGUUGAGGGUGCGCCAAGACCAGACAGUAUCCCAAGCGAGGAUCCCAUUCGGUGCCUGGAUGAAGGCUGAUUGGAAGCCGGAUCCUCAGGCAGCAGCUGGGGACGAAUGUACUCACUCCUCUUCCAGUGAGAAACAAGGGAAUAGGCACUUUUGUUUGCCUUUCUGCACUGGGCCCUGAUAUAUAGCCAUGGCUGCUGCUGUGCCUGUUAAGAAAUGCU